This 2087-nucleotide ribosomal RNA is filed under the name human gut metagenome. RNAcentral's name for it is "bacterial LSU rRNA". It matches the Rfam family "Bacterial large subunit ribosomal RNA", at positions 821 to 2925 of the family's 2925-position model. The record is from RNAcentral.
GAGAAAUUCCAAUCGAACCCGGAGAUAGCUGGUUCUCCCCGAAAUAGCUUUAGGGCUAGCGUCGGAAAGAACCUUAGUGAAGGUAGAGCACUGAAUGUGUGAUGGCCCCAUCCCGGGGUACUGAAUACAAUCAAACUGCGAAUGUCAUUAAGGAUGUCCGGCAGUCAGACUGUGAGUGAUAAGGUCCAUGGUCAAGAGGGAAACAGCCCAGACCGCCAGUUAAGGUCCCAAAAUACAGGCUAAGUGGAAAAGGAUGUGGGGAUGCCCAGACAACUAGGAGGUUGGCUCAGAAGCAGCCAUCCUUUAAAGAGUGCGUAACAGCUCACUAGUCGAGUGACCCUGCGCCGAAAAUGUACCGGGGCUAAGCCUGAUACCGAAACUGCGGAUUGUAGGAAACUAUAGUGGUAGGGGAGCGUUGUAUACGAGCAGAAGCCGUACCGUGAGGAGCGGUGGAUUGUAUAGAAGUGAGAAUGCCGGUGUGAGUAGCGAGAUGUAGGUGAGAAUCCUACACACCGAAAGCCCAAGGAUUCCAGGGGAAGGUUCGUCCGCCCUGGGUAAGUCGGGACCUAACGCGAGGCCGAAAGGCGUAGUGGAUGGAAAGCAGGCGAAAGAUUCCUGCACCCGUAUAUGGAGCGAAGGAGUGACGGAGACGGAUAGUGUGACCCUCUUAAUGGAUUGAGGGCGAAGCGAAGCGGCUGGUUACCAGGCAAAUCCGGUAACCAAAAGGCUAGAGCGUGACAGGUAAGCGAAAUCUUCGGAAAGUAGCGAAGCACAUGAUGACGGCUUCCAGGAAAAGCUUCUGGCAAUGCAUAUGCGGCCCGUACCAAAACCGACACAGGUGGGCAGGGAGAGAAUCCCGAGGUGAGCGAGAGAACUGUUGCCAAGGAACUCGGCAAAAUGACUCCGUAAGUUAGCGAGAAGGAGUGCUUAAGCAAUUAAGCCGCAGUGAAGAGGCCCAAGCGACUGUUUAACUAAAACACAGCUCUCUGCGAAGUCGCAAGACGAAGUAUAGGGGGUGACACCUGCCCGGUGCUGGAAGGUUAAGAGGAUCUGUUAAGAGCGAUCUGAAGCAGUGAUCCGAAGCCCCAGUGAACGGCGGCCGUAACUAUAACGGUCCUAAGGUAGCGAAAUUCCUUGUCAGGUAAGUUCUGACCCGCACGAAAGGUGUAACGAUUUGGGCGCUGUCUCGGCAGCAGACUCGGUGAAAUCUUAGUACCUGUGAAAAUGCAGGUUACCCGCAACUAGACGGAAAGACCCCAUGGAGCUUUACUGCAGCCUGAUAUUGAAUUCUGGUCAUACAUGUACAGGAUAGGUGGGAGACAAAGAGACGUGCACGCCAGUGUACGAGGAGUCGCCGUUGGGAUACCACUCUUGUGUGACCGGGGUUCUAACCUGGUAUCGAGAACAGGUACGGGGAGAGUGUCAGGUGGGCAGUUUGACUGGGGCGGUCGCCUCCCAAAGAGUAACGGAGGCGCCCAAAGGUACGCUCAGAUUGGAUGGAAACCAAUCGACGAGUGCAAUUGCAGAAGCGUGCUUGACUGUGAGACAGACAAGUCGAACAGGGACGAAAGUCGGGAAUAGUGAUCCGGCGGUGCCGAAUGGAAGGGCCGUCGCUCAACGGAUAAAAGCUACCCUGGGGAUAACAGGCUGAUCUCGCCCAAGAGUUCACAUCGACGGCGAGGUUUGGCACCUCGAUGUCGGCUCAUCGCAUCCUGGAGCUGGAUUCGGUUCCAAGGGUUGGGCUGUCCGCCCAUUAAAGCGGUACGCGAGCUGGGUUCAGAACGUCGUGAGACAGUUCGGUCCCUAUCUGUUGUGGGCGAAGGAGAUCUGCGGAGAGCUGUCCUCAGUACGAGAGGACCGGGAUGGACCUACCGCUGGUGCACCGGUUGUUCCGCCAGGGGCAUAGCCGGGUAGCUAAGUAGGGAAAGGAUAAGCGCUGAAAGCAUCUAAGCACGAAGCCUACUCCAAGAUGAGAUCUCCCAUUCGCAAGAAGUAAGACCCCUUAAAGACGAUAAGGUAGAUAGGCCAGGGAUGGAAGUGCAGUGAUGUACGGAGUUGACUGGUACUAAUCGGUCGAGGACUUAAUC